This is a small nucleolar RNA of Juglans microcarpa x Juglans regia, 90 nucleotides long. RefSeq annotates it as small nucleolar RNA snoR114. Lineage: Eukaryota; Viridiplantae; Streptophyta; Magnoliopsida; Fagales; Juglandaceae. The transcript has a single exon. The record is from RefSeq and is a predicted model, not a curated record.
GAGCAGUGAUGAAUACUUUGCGCCCCUGUGAUGGUUGGGUCCAUCAUCUUUCAUCUGCUCCAUCAGAUAAUAACCCGCGCAUCUGAGCUC